AGUGAACGCUGGCGGUAGGCCUAACACAUGCAAGUCGAACGGCAGCACAGGAGAGCUUGCUCUCUGGGUGGCGAGUGGCGGACGGGUGAGGAAUACAUCGGAAUCUACUCUGUCGUGGGGGAUAACGUAGGGAAACUUACGCUAAUACCGCAUACGACCUACGGAUGAAAGCAGGGGACCUUCGGGCCUUGCGCGAUUGAAUGAGCCGAUGUCGGAUUAGCUAGUUGGCGGGGUAAGGGCCCACCAAGGCGACGAUCCGUAGCUGGUCUGAGAGGAUGAUCAGCCACACUGGAACUGAGACACGGUCCAGACUCCUACGGGAGGCAGCAGUGGGGAAUAUUGGACAAUGGGCGCAAGCCUGAUCCAGCCAUACCGCGUGGGUGAAGAAGGCCUUCGGGUUGUAAAGCCCUUUUGUUGGGAAAGAAAUCCAGCUGGCUAAUACCCGGUUGGGAUGACGGUACCCAAAGAAUAAGCACCGGCUAACUUCGUGCCAGCAGCCGCCGCGG
This 506-nucleotide ribosomal RNA is filed under the name uncultured bacterium. RNAcentral describes it as "partial 16S ribosomal RNA". It matches the Rfam family "Bacterial small subunit ribosomal RNA", at positions 29 to 523 of the family's 1533-position model. The record is from RNAcentral.